AUACGGAGGGAGCAAGCGUUAUUCGGAAUCACUGGGCGUAAAGGACGCGUAGGCGGGUUUGUAAGUCAGGUGUGAAAUCCUACAGCUCAACUGUAGAACUGCACUUGAAACUACGGACCUAGAGUAUGGAAGGGGCAGAUGGAAUUAGUGGUGUAGGGGUAAAAUCCGUAGAUAUCACUAGGAAUACCGAAAGCGAAGGCGAUCUGCUGGGACAUUACUGACGCUGAGGCGUGAAAGCGUGGGGAGCAAACAGGAUUAGAAACCCCGGUAGUCC
Molecule: ribosomal RNA, 274 nt
Filed under: uncultured bacterium
Lineage: Bacteria
Description: partial 16S ribosomal RNA
Rfam family: Bacterial small subunit ribosomal RNA
Source: RNAcentral